GACCUCCGGGGGCGGGGACGCCACGCCUGCGCAGUGGAGCUCGCGCGCGGAGUUCUGCGCUCCGGUGAAGCUCCGGCGGCGCGCGGCGACCCCAUGGAGGAGCCACGGGAGGAGUCGGAGCCCCUUCUGAGCCGGGCCCGGGGCGGCAGUGGCCGCCCGGCGGGCUCGGCCGGCUCCCGCGGCGUCCGCGUUGGGCCUGGUGCUGCGUCCAGGCAGGAUCUCUGCUUUGACCAGGCUGCCGUCUUCAUCGAAGAUGCCAUCCAGUACCGCUCCAUUAACCACCGCAUGGACGCCAGGUCGAUGUGGCUUUACCGACUGUAUUACUCCAACACCUGCCAGUGGACGUUGAGCCUCACCAUCUUCUUGAUCCUGCUUUUGGCUUUUAUCGAGACCCCUUCCUCGCUCACUAGCACCGCGGACGUCCGCUUCCGCUCGGCCCCCUGGGACCCGCCCUGUGGCCUCACCGAGAGCGUCGAGGCGCUCUGCCUGCUGGUCUUUGUGGCUGACGUGUCUGUGAAGAGCUAUCUGGUUGGAUGGGCCCAGUUCCGGAAGAACCCCUGGCUGCUGGCCUACCUCGCAGUGCUGGUCGUGUCUCUCGCGGACUGGAUCGUGUCGCUGAGUCUGCUUUGCCAGGAGCCCCUGCGGAUUCGCAGGCUCUUUCGCCCCUUCUUCUUGAUGCAAAACUCCUCCAUGAUGAAGAAGACGCUCAAGUGUAUCAGGUCGUCGCUGCCGGAAAUGGCCAGUGUUGUGCUGCUGCUGGCACUGCACCUGUGCGUCUUCACCAUGCUCGGGAUGCUUCUCUUCACAGGCGAGAAGCAGGACGACGGGCAGGACCGGGAGAGGCUGACGUACUUUCGCAACCUGCCGGAGGCCCUGACCUCCCUCCUGGUGCUGUUGACCACGGCCAACAACCCUGACGUGAUGACUCCUGCGUACUCCAAGAACCGGGCCUAUGCCAUUUUCUUCAUAGUCUUCACCCUGAUAGGAAGCUUGUUUCUGAUGAACCUGCUGACGGCCAUCAUCUACAACCAGUUCCGGGGCUACCUGAUGAAGUCCUUCCAGACCUCGCUGUUCCGGAGGCGGCUGGGGGCCCGGGCCGCCUACGAGGUCCUCUCCUCCAUGAGCACACGGGGAGAAGCCCACCCUCGAGGGGUCGGGGUGGACCCCCAGGACUUCCUGCAGGUGCUCCAGAGAGUCCAGCUGGACAGCCACCAGAAACCGGUCAUCAUGGAGAAGGUGCGUUCCUACGGUGGCGACCUUCUGUCGGCCGAGGAGUUUCAGAAGCUCUUCAACGAGUUUGACAAAAGGGUGAUUAAAGAGCGCCCGCCGCGGCCCGAGUACCGGUCUCCCUUCCUGCGGAGCGCUCAGUUCCUCUUCAGCCACCGCUAUUUUGACUACCUGGGGAACCUCAUCGCCCUUGGGAACCUCGUGUCCAUUUCUGUGUUCUUGGUGUUCGAUGCCGACGUGCUGCCCGGGGACCGUGAUGACUUCGUCCUCGGGAUUCUCAACUGCGUCUUUAUUCUGUACUACGUGCUGGAGCUGCUGCUCAAGGCGUUCGCUCUGGGCCUGCGGGGGUACCUGUCCUACUCCAGCAACGUAUUUGACGGGCUCCUCACCGUCGUCCUGCUGGUUUUGGAGAUCUCAACUCUGGCUGUGUACCGAUUCCCACACCCAGGCUGGAAGCCAGAGAUGCUGGGCCUGCUGUCGCUGUGGGACAUGGCCCGGCUGGUGAACAUGUUCAUCGUGUUCCGGUUCCUGCGCAUCAUCCCCAGCAUGAAGCUGAUGGCCUUGGUGGCCAGUACCAUCCUGGACCUGAUCAAAAACAUGCGGGCCUUCGGCGGGAUCCUGGUGGUCGUGUACUACGUCUUUGCCAUCCUGGGCAUCAACCUGUUCCGAGGUGUCGUCGUGGCGCCUGGAAACGGCAGCCUGGCCCCCGACAACAGCUCGGCUCCCUGCGGAAGCUUCGAGCAGCUGGAGUACUGGGCCAACAACUUUGAUGACUUCGCGGCCGCCCUGAUCACUCUGUGGAACGUGAUGGUGGUGAACAACUGGCAGGUGUUUCUGGACGCCUAUCGGCGCUUCUCGGGCCCGUGGUCGAAGAUGUACUUCGUGUUGUGGUGGCUGGUGUCAUCUGUCAUCUGGGUCAACCUGUUUCUGGCUCUGAUUCUGGAGAAUUUCCUCCACAAGUGGGACCGCCGCGCUCACCUGCAGUCCCUCGCUGGGGACCCAGAUACGUGCUGUCAGGUGACUGUGGAUCUCCUGUUCAGGGACGUCCUGGAGGAACCCACGGAGGAGGAGCUGCUGGAGAGGCUGAGCUGUCACCCGCACUUGCGGCUGUGCAGGUGACCCCCAGGUGCGCCGUCCUGGCACGGGCGGCAGGUGGCCGUGUGGCCUCGAGACGGACGCCCGUCGAGGCAGCAGCCCAGGAGGAGAGACUUUGCGUGGCCGGAAUUCUCCACCCACGCGAGGCGGGAGCGGAGAGCAGGGCCCUGUUCGCUGCCCGGCGGAACCACCACCUACCAGCGGCUUUUCCUCGCGGCGCCUUGGGCUCCGCGCCCGGCCGCUUUCUUUGGUCGGCUGCUGCAGUGAGACUUUGACUUUUCUACACCCGGGUGGAGGGUGACUCCCCGGGACCUUUGAGACUGUCUGGAAAGCAGGAGGCAGUGGCCUUCCUCGUGGGCCCUGCGACUUCCGUGGUGCCUUCGCUGCCGGUGGCCUUCAGGGACCACGGGCCCGCCUGGGGCCUGCACGGGCCAACCGGCAGCUUUCCAGGGCAUUCAGUUUGGGUGGUUUUAGAGGAAGAGAAUUUUAAGGGUUUUAUUGUUUUAUGGCUCCCAUGAGUAUUGAUUGGACGGGUUUCUUUACGGGUCAGAAUGCCCGUAGUUUUUAUCCUUGCGAAGAGUGAGGUCGUCAUUCUUACGUGGACACAACUCCAAUCCUGCUUCUCUGGAGCAGGGUGGCCAGGGCGUGUGGCCCAGGGGGCAGAAGUGCGUAAUGUGUGACAGGCCAUAUUGCCACUUGGGCCACCAUACAUCCAGGAAAACCGUCGAGAGUGUUCUCAUUUCAAGGGCCGACUCGAGUGCUUGCUGGGAGCCCCUGCAGGUUCCAGCUCCCACUCGGAAGGUCCCCUGCCUUGUGUUUCACGGCCCGUGUGCAGAGAAGCCCUGUCUGGUCAUUACUGUCAUGUGGCACGGAAUUCGGGUGACCCACGCCAGAGUCUGGGACACGGUGCUGCUCGGAGAGGCUGGCCCCGCCUUCAGGAUGGGCCAGCCGAAGGUGGUGCCCUCAAGCUGGUGACUUCUGUCCACAAGCUAGUGUCUCUUGGGUGCUCUGGGGGCACUGACUGUUCCUUCCUCAGUUUCAAAUGGUAUCGGCCUCCCAACAUUUGUCCCCGCGAGAACGAGGGCUGCGUUCACGGGGGACCUGGGGCUCCGCUUUCGGUUAAGGGGAGCUGGUGGGGGUUGCCCGGUGCCGUCUGGGGGCUGCACUGGGGAGGACCCGUUUGAGGAGGACACGUGCUCACAUCUCUCAGCCCCUUGCGGCUCUGGCGGGCACCGCUGUUGUUGUCUGUGGCUACCGUGGUCCUGGUCACCCCUCUGCACUCUGGAUGGGCGCGAGGUACAGGGGGCUCAGCCCUGCUGGACUCCGGAGUCCCCCAGUCGCAUGCAGGAGUCUGGGACACCUGGAGUGGUGUCGCUGCCCCAGUGGAGGGGGGUGGAGGCAGGGGCAGGACGUCACUGGGCCCCGGGGAGCCCCGUGGCACGGGUCAGGCUCCGAGGAGGGGCCCGUGUGUCCGCGGCCUGGGGAGCCCUGGCCUGGGUGUCGGCAAGAAGCUGAAUGGAGGCGGCUGGCCCAGUGGAGGGGUCUCCCGGGGGGCGAGGGGAAGGGGGUGGGCCAGAGUGGUGGGUUCGCAGCCACACGCACCAAGUAGUGGGGCCUUUGGUCCCAGACGCCGAUGGGCCUGGAGUUGGGUGCGGGCAAGGCAGGGACCCGGGUGGGCACCAAAGCCCCCACCUGCCUGGGAGGCCUGAGUCCUUCACGCCGCGGGGGACUUGCUUCGUACCUGCCCAGAUCGGGGCAACCAGCUAGCCCGGGCCUCCGAAGGUGACUUCCUCCAGGACCUGGGGUCGCCUGCCUGCCUUCACUGGGACCAGGAAGGGCUGCGAGUGGGCGGGGACUGUCUCCUCUCCCAUGGGGGUUCCCCACGGGGGCCCCAGGCCCCUGUCCCCACUGGGGGGCACCAGGAAGGACACAGCUGCUGUUUCUGAGGCCGGGGGAGGGCAGGGAGGGGCAGGAGCAAGGUGAGGCCGUGAGUUUGCUCGUGUUUAAUAAUAACGAACUAUAGAAAUGAUCCCCGAAAGUAUAGUCUUGCUCAUGUUUGAUAAUAACGUGGAAGUGAACGCAGACUUAGAGAAACGUCACAAGUACAGCUUUCCCGGGAUCACUGGGGAGUUCAGUUGUAGUUACGAUCCCUUUGCCUUCCGCACUUGAGGGAGGGUCUCCAACACAUGGGGACACUGGGAUGGGGUCCCCACGGCUUCCUGCUGGCUGGUGCUCACCCCAUGCGUGGCCAUUCGGAGCCUCCAUCCCGGACCCUCGGGCUCCGUGGUCAUCUGUGAUCUCCCCGGACAGGUGACCUCGGCGCUCUGGAAGGUCAGCCGGUGAUGGUGAUGGGAGGCUCCCAGGCUGGGUUUAGGCAGGGUUUCCUCAUCAGCGUGCUUCUGCCGUGUCCGUAGGAAGACGGGAGCUGCGCGCCCUGGCAGCUGGUGGGCGGUUUCUGUUUGCCCCGCGGCCGCUGCCCACCCCGUCAUCUGCCGUUGGUGGUGCCGGGUCACCCAGCGUAAGGUGGCUCUUUUUCCCUUUGUAACUCAGGGGUGGGAGGUGCUUUGAAGCUCGGCGAGGCUCCAGUUCUCCAGGCUUCAGUCACUUCCUCCCUGCCUUCCUCUGCGCGCAUCAUCGUUUCCUCCGUUCCGUGUGUUCUGUUUAGUCCGUUCCGUUUCACGCACAGAUUCUCAUUUGGCCGGUGGGAGCCGCUUCAUCUCGAUUUCUGUGUCCAUUUGCUAGGCACCUGCCGUCCUCUGAGUGCUUCUUUGCUUUCCGGUGUGAAGAGCCGUUCAAGGCCUCAUGUCACGCCUCCUGUGCCCCAGCCCUGGAAACAGCCGUCUCCCCAAGGACUUGUGCUCCUUUAAGCAAGAACAGCAUCUGGGAACCAAGAUGUGGGCGUGAGGUGCGUUUCCUGCUGUUGGGGUGCUGCUUACCCAGGUUCUCUCUGUAGACAGAGCUGGGGAGUACAUGCAUGCAUCUGUCUGUCCGUCCGUCCGUCCAUCCAUCCAUCCAUCCAGCGGACAACUGUGAGAUCACCCUGAUACCAACACCACAGGGCACAGCUGGUUUUCUCUCUGCGUGGCUCUCAGCCCUUUUCUGAGUGGUUUGCGUUCUCCGUAGCCUGGGCACUGACUCGAUCCGUUCUCUUGUAAAUAACUUGCCUCAUCCUCCCCACAGAGAUGCCCUCCUCACCCCGCGGGGGCGCCCCUGCGGAUGCCCUCCAGCCAGAGACCUCCGGGAAAGAGCUUUCCAGAUGGAGAGAGAGUACCGCCCGGCCCUUUACCGUUAGGAAUAGCGGAAUUAGAAUCUGACCAGCUUAUUAAAAGCAAAUUAAGCAAAAAAACAAAAAAAAACAAACAACAAAACAAAAAAAAAACAUUAGAAGAAACGUAGCUUUUUAUUCACAAAUAACAUGGUGGUCCCUACCGAGGGGCUGAGGGCAUUCAUAAUUCAGCAACAUGGCUUGCUAUCAGAUUAAUACCCUGAAAUCAAUUGCUUUUCUAAACACUAGCGACAAGCUGCCCCAAGUUUAUUUUAAAGGAUAUCAGAAGAAAUAACUAUUCACAUGAGAGGAAAAUCCUCAAGGUUCUUAAAAAUACAUUCCCCAUACGCAGGAAACCAUAAAACCGCACCAAACCCCAUGAAUGGCCUUGAGCGAGAAUGCAGUCGCGUUCUCUUGCCGGGCACCUGUUACCACACAGCGGCCUCAGACGCUCCACGCUUGACCCGCUCGCAGCUCGGCAGGCCAGACGGGCAGGCGCUGCUUUGCCGGGCCCUCUGCACGGCGGGGCUCAGCCCGUGCUCCACCUCGUUCUCCGGGAAGAGCCUGAUAGGUCUGCAGUCGUUCGGGUUGUCGGCCGAGUUCUGUUCCGAGGCCAUAGGUGAUGGUCCUUCCCGUUCCCCGGUUUCCUUAUUGGCGUCAGCAGAGGGCUGCUCUUAGGCUGCCUUCGCGCUCUGCUCCACAACCCCCCAGUCCUCAGAGUCGGCAAUGGAGAACCUGCUGUGAAUCGAAUCCCCUUACCCUUUGUGCCCGGCCCUCACUACGUACAGGCUCGCCUGAUUAGGUCAGGCCCACCAGGAUAGUCCCCCUUUCUUGAAGUCCACAAGGGUGUCCGAGGGUGAGGCUCACUGGGGGUCCUAGAAUUCCGCCUACCACAGUCUUCCUGUUCGUAGCCAGAAGGAGUCGACAUCGUCAACAUGUCUGCCUUCCCCAAUUAAUCCAUAGAUUUGUCAAGAUUCUAAACAGAAUGCUCAUUUCUUCCACAAAAUGUGAUGAGCGGAAAAAUUUACCUGAAACUUACAUGCAAAAAUAGCUAGGUCAGUUCUGUAGAAACAUAUGGUUGGAGACCUUGCUCGCCAGUGUCCCUGACUUACCGUGGAGAUGCGGUAACUAAGACCGACCAGCAUGAUCCCAGCGCAGGGGCAGAUGGAAGAAUGACGUAGAAGGGAGAGCCCAGGAUGGCGACGGUGAGGGGCUGGGGCCGAUGGGAGGCUCUGUGCACCCCCAGGGGCCAGAGUGGCCUCAGCAUCUGUGGGUUUUUGUCCGGCUGGCAGGUGCAGAGCCAGCGGCUGGAGGGGGUCCAGGACCUGGGAGCAGUCUGCCGCUGGGACCUGGGAGUGGGGGUUCAAGUGGUUCGGGGCCUUUCAUGUGGUUACGUCCUCAGCACAGCAGGGAGGAAUCUUGUCUUUCACCCAAACAGCCAGGAUUUGGUUUUCUGCCUCAGAGAUAAUUGGCGGUGCUUGUGAAAAGGUUCGAACGAUUGGUUGUCUUAAAAAAAGCGAAAGGCAGGUACACCUCGCGGCUCUUACCGUGUAAGAGGGAGCCGUGGGGCUCCACAAUGCUCCUCACGUCAAAGUGGCCAACAGGCGCUGCGGGCAGUGAGCGGGCGGCCCACCCCGGCCCACCGAUCGCGCCCGGGGCCCCCGACGUUCUGGUGACGGCAGGCCCACACCUGCAGGGACCCCGGCGGCCCGGCUGCGGCCCUGGGUUUGAUACAGCAGUCGGCUAAUCCGUGUGGGGGGCCUCGGCAACACCUGUCGCCAGGUGAGCCGGACCCGCCUUACCCGCCUCCCUGGCUUUCGCUUUCUCCUCUCAGCUAACGGGCAGGUGGAUGGGGGCCCGCUGACGCCAGACUCGGGCGGAGGAGGCCAUCCUUGGCCGUAGGCGCUGGGCCGGCAGCUCCCGGAAUCCCCUGCGGAGGCUCGCUCAGACAGAGCUCUGGGUUCCACCCUGGCCGGUCUGCUUUACGCUGGCUGGGGCGGGGCCCGGGAACCUGCAUUUCGACUUCGUUCCCGGGGGGGUGCUGCUGCGCGUCCAGAGACCAGAGCCGGAGAACAGCGGGCUCGGGAAAGAGUUAGCUUCUCUCCCUCCCUUUCCCAGCGGCUUCCUUUCCGGAAGUCCUUACCGAGCACCCAUUGUUGCCGUCGGGGAGCUGUAAAUAAUACUUUGGUGGGGGGCUGUUACGGAGAGGACCUCUUUCUGACUGGUCCCCCCUGGAAAAGGUGCUGGCUUCUCGCGCUGCAGCCACCGCCCUGGUCUCUCCGGGCUGGCGGAGUCCAGGCAGGACGUGGUCCUCCCGGCCGCCACGACCCCUUUCCUGUCGCCUGGGCCCCAGGUCUGUGCGCAGACUGCGUAACUACAUAUAGGGAAUCUGGCUGGGCCCCGAUGGGCGUGUUGGGCAAGGACAGCUACCGGGGCCCCUGGACACAAAGGGGGCAGAGAUGGGGUGCUGCCCCCACGGGGGUCCCACCACCCUCCCCCAGCAACGUGAUCCUACUCUCCCCUCGCUGCUCCCUGGCCCUGUGGGGCACCGGGUAUUCCCAUUCCUUCCUCCGUCCCCAGGCCCUGGUGGUGCUUGUGUGUGGCUAGUGCUCCAUACCUAGUCCUGCCAUUGAAUGCCGAGGAGCAGGUGGCUCACGUCAGAUGCUAACAUCCACUCUGUCAAUGUGCUCUGCAGGCUGCCAGGCACCGAUGUAAAGUGGGGUAAAAACAGAAACGGCUGGGGCCGGGAGCAGGAGGAAGAGGUUGCCCAUACACCCGGGGACCCACUAUGGUUGCAGGCCAGCUGGGAGCUCCCUGGCAGCCCUAGGGAAAAAGGGACCAGGUUUCUGCCAGGGGAGGCAGCGGGCUGCUUGUUGGUGGGAGAUCUGGUGGGGGUGGAGGUGUGCUGGGCGGGGCCGGGACACGCCCCCUGGGUGUGAGCUGUGUGUGACCCACAGCCCUGGCUUUGUCAUCUCGUUUCCGGGUCUCGUGAGGGCCCACGAGGUGAAGGAUGCGAAAGCGCCGUCUUGUCCUUGAAGCAGCAGGCACGUAAAUGGUCUCUCAAGAGUCCAAAGGGGCAGCGAUAAUUAGGAGUCACCAUUUGAGUGGUGCUUUUCUGAGCACUGUCCGAAGCAGGGUGUUGGCUUGUUGAAUCCCGUGGAGUCACGGGCUGGGGUGCCGCUGACAGGUGGGGAAACUGAGGUGCAGAGGGGGCAGGAAGCCUGUUCAAGGCCACCUGACUGCUAACGGUGCAGCCUCUUCCCUGCGUCCCCCCGCAGCACAUCAGCACGAGGACGUGAGUGCCGCGGGCCUGGGGUAGGUGUCUGUAGAGACAGUGCUGUGACAUCACGUGUGACCCGCACACAGGAGGGUCCCGACAGCCCCCAAGGGAAGUGGGAGGUGACCGGCUUGAAGAGGCAUGCUUCGGGGGUGGGGGGGGGGCAGGCUGGGCUCCUUGCGACUUUCUCCCCUCUUAGCCACUAUCCAAAGAGGCUCGGGGCACACGGAGUCCACAGCCUGCGUCUGGGCCCCACCUGCCGCACCCCGUGACCUUGAUGUGCAGUUAGACCUCCUAAGCCCCGUCUCCCUCGGUUGGGAAGGGAGGUGGGUGGGUGGGUGAAGUAAUGACACCCGAGGAAGCUGAUGUGCUGACCCCUAGCCCUUUGUCGAACUGCAGACCUGUGGUUCAAUCUCAGAGCUCCUUGUAGGUGGGGAAACUGAGGCACAAGAAGAUUUUUUUGUUUGUUUGUUUGUUUUUCUUUUUCUCUUUUAGGAGCCCGUGCUGACGGGUGGCAUGGCGGAGGGUGAGCCCAGCUCUGUCACGAAGGCCGGUGCCCUCGGCCUGCCCUGUGGGUCUUAGUGCCAGGCCUGGAGGCACCCUUGGUUUCUAUAUGACAAGCGUUCACGUGCAGCUUGCUCAGCGCACAGGCGUGUGGGCUCUGGGCCCCCCCGCUCUCACGGGUGCCCCGUUUCAAACCAUGAAGGUCGGGAGCUGGCGUGCGCUCGGUGCCUUGGGUUCGCCCAGAACACCCACCUGGAGACGCUGACCGCUCAGGUGAGCAAAAUGCCUGCUCAGGAACCGGUCCCUUCUCCCUCCCCGCGUUCAUGGCUGCUUCCCCCUGGGACCUCGCUCCAGAUGCAGACGGGUGUGUCCAGGCAGGUGGCUCCUGAACACCCCUGAGGACUUUCUGCAACAUUCUGGAAGCCCUUGCCAGGUGGCCACGUCUUCCAGAAUGCCCUGUGUGCUUCCUGCCUCCACGCUGGGCUCCUGCUAAGUUCUCACAUAAAGAAGAAAUUCAGGAAGGGGCGUCAGGUGGCCGGCAGUCCCGGAGGCCCCCGAGCCUUCUCCCUGACCAGGAACCUGCGGGGGGACUGCACGCUUUCCGGGGGGUCGGUGCCCAGACAGGCUGAGGCUCCAGGUCAGCCGCGAGCCCGCUGGAUCAAGGCCGAGGGUCACGGUGAGGGUGAGAAGGGACCCGCGGGGUGGAGGUGGGAGGGGGAGGGGCAGCUCGGCCAGGGCCUCCGCAGGGGGAGCGGGGAGCGAGCAGGUCUGUCCCGCCGCACGCAGGUGGCAGCGCGCGGGUGCGCCGACCCCCACGGACCCCCUCGCGGGCGGAGGGGGGGAAGGGGGGGUCCUCUCGCGUCCCCUCCCCUUCCCCGCGUCCCCUUCCCCGCGCCACGCCCCCCCCUGCCGCCGAGCGAUAGCUAAUUGGGCAGAGAAAGGGCCCGAUUGUCUGCGCGCCGGAAGCGCGGGCGUGGGCGGCUGGAAGCGCCGAGAAGGUGGCCGGCCUCGCCCGGCAGCUGCCGAGCUGCCGCCGGAGCCGCCCGGGGGUGACGUCAGCGCUGGCGAGCGGGGAGCCCGGCGGAGAGGGGGGCGCUCGCGGCCUCGCCACAAUGCGACCAUUGUGGGCCCGUGAAUGCGGCCGGGCCUCUUGACCGGGGAGGCCGCGAGCCUCGCGCUCUGGCCUGUCACUCGCCGCCGGGGAGGCCCGAGCUCCGAUCGGGGGGAGCAGGGGAGCAGGCCCCUCUCCCCCUCCCCCCCCCCCCCCCCCC
This is an RNA transcript of Acinonyx jubatus (cheetah), 10639 nucleotides long. It is a transcript of the gene named two pore segment channel 2, with no coding region annotated. Lineage: Eukaryota; Metazoa; Chordata; Mammalia; Carnivora; Felidae. The record is from RefSeq and is a predicted model, not a curated record. The transcript is spliced from 30 exons.